Girardinichthys multiradiatus is the source of this 1033-nucleotide long non-coding RNA. RefSeq lists it as uncharacterized. NCBI's taxonomy places the organism in Eukaryota, Metazoa, Chordata, Actinopteri, Cyprinodontiformes, Goodeidae. The record is from RefSeq and is a predicted model, not a curated record. The transcript is spliced from 3 exons.
CAAACAUGGGAGCUGUUUGGGUUUUGGGCAUUUAUACAGUGACUUUGUGGUUAAAGGGGUCCUGUUUGUCUGUUUUUCAAAUUGUAGAACAAUAUGAGGAGCAGCAGAAGAUGCAAAACAUCGUCUCUAAAAACGGCAUUGCUCUGAAGACCACUACCUUUCUCCAGUCAAGGAAUUCCGUGUUGAAGAAACAUGGUAAGGCAAAAUGUAAAAGUGCUCUUAUUAUGCUCUAAAAACACAGUUCAUGUGCUUGUCUCAAUCUCUGUAGUACAACUGGAAACCAAUGAAAUGGAAAUGUAUGUGUCAAGUGUAGAGCUGUAAGGGUGUGGGCUUUAAGGGCCUCCCAUGAGGUGUCAAAUAAAGCACAAAUAUCUUAAAUCCUUUUCUCAAUAUGAACUUCUGUUUUAGUCAAGCUUUCCAAUCAUGUCUUCUGGAGUCACAUCACAAGAAGUUAUGACCGUUGAGCAAAGUGUAAACCAGCCCUUAGAGGUGAUGGCCUGUGGGCAAAAUUUUAAAAACCUUUUAUUAUCCUGUAUCAAAGGGUCAAUGAGUGCCAUGGCAGAUCCUAAAACAAAAAUUAACACUAACCUAACAUCCAUCUAGCAAUUUACCCAGAAUGUACUGCACAGCUAACACUGUGUGGGGGGUGUUGAAAUAUAAAUGCCUUAUUAAUAGCUAAGACUAAGACAUAUUGGACUCUGCUGCUCAUAGACUUUAAUGAGUUUUAGUUAUGCUUUUGUUAGAAAAAAACCUUAACAGCCUCUAGUAUUAUAACACAAUGAGUGUUCAUUGUUAAAGGUUGCAGGUGUUUUGUCUGUAUCGUGAGGAGUCGGGAGUGUAUGUGGGGAGGUAUGCCACUCCUCUCUGUACUGGUCGGACCUUCUGAUAACUAUUCCACCCUGAAGCUUCCUGAAGACGUGUGGGAAACAAUUCUUUCAUUAAAUAAUGAAAUGUAUCUGUUUCUUUGAUACUAUUGCUGAGGAGACAUCCAUAGACAGAAUGAUUGUGUAUGUGUACUGCACAGCAACGUGGG